Molecule: non-coding RNA, 246 nt
Organism: Oryctolagus cuniculus (rabbit)
Lineage: Eukaryota; Metazoa; Chordata; Mammalia; Lagomorpha; Leporidae
Source: RefSeq, a predicted model, not a curated record
GGUCCAAAGGGGGAGAAAUCUAGCCCACAUCCUGCAGCAGUACCUGAAGGACGUGCUCACCGUGCAUGACCCUGAGACCUGUACGGGGCAGGGCUUCCGACGACUGCUCACUGAGGCUGUCCGGCUGUCAGCGUGCCUUGAGGACCUGCUUGGAGCAGAAAAUAUUGAAGAGGAGGAAACACCAGCACAAGGACCUGUUGCUGACAGGGAGCUCUUGGAAGUGGAUGAAAUGGAAACCCCACAAAU